RNAcentral lists this long non-coding RNA (802 nucleotides) under Glycine max (soybean). RNAcentral's name for it is "long non-coding RNA (GMAX_LNC000064)". The record is from RNAcentral. Lineage: Eukaryota; Viridiplantae; Streptophyta; Magnoliopsida; Fabales; Fabaceae.
CCAAUGGUAACAGAUUGGUUAAUCAGCACACAGCAAGGAAAAAUACCAUAUUCAAACAUUGCCACCUUCCCCAUGAUUUACGUUGAAGAUAUCCACAUAUCAAAAAUAGGAGAAUUUGAAAAACAAACAUUAACUAUCAAAUACCCCUGUUUUUAUUCAAUAAAGAACUCCUAGUCCUAGUCCAAGUAACCAAGAAGAGGAAAUGAGCCAAACCAACACAAACAAGUAAAUUCAUUGUGGGUGAGUAAAAGAAGAGAAUUAUAAUCACAAUAAUGAGGUAGCACCUAAGACUUUUACAUAUUUUUUUCAAAACUCACACCAAGAUUGAUGAAGGUGACCAGUUUAAUUCCAAAGGGGUGCACCUCUCUACUCAUAUAUAAACCAAAACCUCAAAUCCACUUCAUGCACCAUGCUUUUACCUUCUAGUACACCUUCCACCUCCUAUUCCAGACCCAAACUUUCUUUAGCACACAUAAAAUUAACUUCAUUUAUUGUUUUUCACACUCCUCCCUAAAAAAACCUAAAAAUAGAAAAUAACCAUUAAAAAAUUUCCCUUUUCAUAAAAUCCCAAAAGGGCAUGUUCGUGUGUGUUCAUUCACAUGAAUAAUAAACAAUCAUGUUUCAACUUCAACCCUAACCCUCAACCAAAACCACGACUCCAUGGUUAAGCAAGAACUUAAUUCCAUAGAUAUUUUUUUUUCAACAGGGACAAACAUGACAGCAGGAAGCCAGGAACUAUAAAAUUCAGUCACUCGUAUCAAAAAGCAAAACGGAAAAGACAAAAAAAAAAGGGGAACUUUAC